This 77-nucleotide small RNA is filed under the name Salmonella enterica subsp. enterica serovar Paratyphi A. RNAcentral's name for it is "partial RtT sRNA". It matches the Rfam family "RtT RNA", at positions 51 to 130 of the family's 130-position model. Rfam says of the family: This family represents a bacterial cis-regulatory element known as RtT RNA. The exact function of RtT is unknown although it is thought that it may be involved in changing the cellular response in relation to amino acid starvation. Lineage: Bacteria; Pseudomonadati; Pseudomonadota; Gammaproteobacteria; Enterobacterales; Enterobacteriaceae. The record is from RNAcentral.
AAAACGUGAAGGAUAACGUUGCGUCAGCAACGGCCCGUAGGGCGAGGCAAAGCCGAGUCAUCCUGCACAACCCACCA